UAGCUCAAUGGUAGAGCGCUAGCUUCCCAAGCUAGACACGCGGGUUCGAUUCCCG
Molecule: transfer RNA, 55 nt
Filed under: Propionibacterium freudenreichii
Lineage: Bacteria; Bacillati; Actinomycetota; Actinomycetes; Propionibacteriales; Propionibacteriaceae
Description: transfer RNA-Gly
Rfam family: tRNA
About the family: Transfer RNA (tRNA) molecules are approximately 80 nucleotides in length. Their secondary structure includes four short double-helical elements and three loops (D, anti-codon, and T loops).
Source: RNAcentral